RNAcentral lists this unclassified non-coding RNA (200 nucleotides) under soil metagenome. RNAcentral describes it as "partial contains internal transcribed spacer 2 and large subunit ribosomal RNA". The record is from RNAcentral.
UGUUCGAGCGUCAUUACAACCCUCAAGCUCUGCUUGGCCUUGGGCGUCACCGGCAACGGUGGGCCUCAAACCCAGUGGCGGUGCCGUCUGGCUCUAAGCGUAGUAAUUCUUCUCGCUAUGGUGCCCGGCGGAUGCUUGCCAGCAACCCCCAACUUCUUUUGGUUGACCUCGGAUCAGGUAGGGAUACCCGCUGAACUUAA